ACUUACGUUAAAAGGCAAGGUUCACAUAUACGUACAAAUUGGCUUGGCAUGUAAAUAGAACCAAUCCAUAAUGCCAAGACGACUAAUAAGCCACAAGAAAAGUAGACAUGAAACAGGAGACAUAAAUUGUAAUUAUAGAUUAUAUACAUGAUGCAUUAACAAAAUCUCCACAUGCCUCUCUACCGAAAGGGCCACCAUGUUCCGCAACAAAGAAGGAAUAGACAUGCCUAGUGCAACUAGACAUUUCUUGUAUGGAGUGCAUCACAUUCACGGAGAAAAGUUCUAACAAGGAUUUCAUUUAGUUAGGAGAUCAAAUAAACAAUAUCAUAAAUACCAUACAAGCAGGUAAGGGAUCGAGCGAGCUAAAUGGGCUGUCUUUGGUGGAAUUUGGUAGAAUAAUAAGAAUGUCUUUAAACAAGUAUAACUGAAUUUCAUUUCUAUUAUCAGUGGAACACUUGACUUCUUUGUUUCACAUACUCGAAUUUAAUAAUAAUUAUUUGUCGGGUUGUCCUAGAUUUCCGACUGCUGUAGUUAGGCUUCGCGUGUGCACAUGGCACCUCUCCCAAGGCCUCUGACACAACCACCUAUGAUUUUUGUUUUCUAAUAUCACAUAAACUGGAUCGUGAUUCUAAAACAUAAUUACAACCAUAGAAGGUAAAUGGAGCUACACUUGGUCAAACAUUACACAUUCAAUUAUAUGAAAGUGAUGUGAAGAGUUACCACGACACCGGCUACAAUAUCAAUUGAAAUUUUGUUGAUACAGUGGACGCAUAGCAAUCACUGCACUUGAAGGUGCAGCCUCAUCUAGCUUUCACUUAAUCUGAUAAAAAAACACAUGGGAAAUAAACUAAAGAUGCAAUAUAAAGAGUAUAUUAUGAUAUAAUUUGUACACGCUUGCUCCUCGCAUUACCACUGCAGUAGGUUCAUAAGAAAAGAAAAGGCAUAUCACAAACUAUAAGAAGAAGAAAUUACCAUUAUUGCAGGUCGCCUUUUUAUGCUCAACACGUUCUUUCCACAGUCCUUCUGGAAUCUUUGGGUUCACCAUCGACUUUUUUACAGUAGUAAUAAGUAACAAUAUGCACAAAUACACAUUCCAGAAAAUAUUAUUGAAAGUUUAACAUGCACCUUAUUAUAAGUCAAUUUCGAUAGAGGCAUAUGACAAUGAUGUGCAUUAUUGGCAUUUUUACCCACUACCGUCCUCCAGAUAUCUGACAGAUUGCCUCAAAACAUGCAUAGCAAGACUAUCUAUUUAUCUACAUUAAGCAAUAGAGAACUCUCGUUUUUAGGUGAGCGGCUUAUGAGAAUAGCAUAUCCUAGCUGCAAUGCAGAUGUUUCAGGCAAAAUACUUUAUUGCCACAUAAAAGGAAAACACAUAUUUGAGAAUUGCUUAUGAUAGCAACAAGCCAACAACAUAGAUCAAUGUGUUUUUUCUUAAUCAUCUUACAACUUGGAAAUACUAAUUGUCAUUGAUAUCCUAUUAGCAACAAAAUUUUGCAUCAUGAGCCCUACAGCUUGGGAUGGGCCUAAACUUGUCAAUUAUAUGUACAUAUACCCACUUUGUGACUCAAAUAAUUUCAAGCUAAUGUUAUACAGUGAUCUUUCUACCUUUCAUACUUAAGACCAUAGGAAAUAGAAACAGAAAAGAAAUAAAAACACAUUACAAUGAGACAAGUACCUUUCACGUGACACUUGAAUGUCCUGGUAUAUCAAAAUCUUCAUCAUCAUUGUCGUCGUCGUCGAUCCGUUCAACAUAAUCUUCUAAGUUCCGCAAUAACCAUCAGCAUGACAAGUUUAGAAAUAAUUUCAAAUACAAGUUUGCACAUGCGGGUACAUAUGAAAGUUGACAUAGAGGAUUACCCUGAAAGUGAUUUAUUUGAUGAGUUAUUUGUAUUCUUCAUCUAGUUCUGCUACUGUUUUUCCUCCUGUAACCACUCACAAAAUGACCAAUAUUAGAGAGAAAAUAUUUUAAGAAAAUGAUGCCACAAGACCACCAUGCCGUAAGCAAAAUAAUCUACAUAUUACCCAAAAUGUGAAGCGCUACACGUGAGGCUUUUAUCAAAUAUAGAGAAAACAAAGUAUGUGAGAUCUUGCCUUUUGAUGAGCGGAAUGCUUCAAAAUUUCAAGCAUCUGGCCAAUGGAGACUCAAGCAUGUCUAGACUGUAAACAACACAAUAAAACAAUGUUAGUAGUCAGUUAAGUCUAAAUUUUAGGUGCAUGUUCAAGUAUAGGUUAACUGAACUUAAAAGAAUGGCAAUAUGCCCAGAUCAAUACUUUCAUCGACCACAUCUCUUCUACAUUGUUCUGUUCUCUAGUUCUCAUUGCAUCUCCCAUCUCCCCUGCUUCUCGCUUCCUAUUCUCUUUAUCCACAACCUGAACAAUGGAAAAUAAACCAAUAUGAUUAAAUUGAAGCAGGCAAGAGUACCUGCAACUCUGCAAGUGGUUGCACGCUGGCAUCAAGAAAGAGCAAGAGCUUCCAGAUUGAGAAUGGCAAGGGAAAGAUCUUGGGUAAGGACUUACCAUGUCUAGGUGGGUUGUCGCUCGAAAAUCCUAUAGAUCCUCCACCCCCAUCCUCUCUCCUAGUGAUGCAGCUUUAGGGGAAAAGACAGGAGAAGGAAGUCGGCGACGGCUGGGCGAAGACGGAGGAGUCGUUCCACCACAGACAGGGGCGAUCAAGGACAGUUCUGAGAUGGGCG
This 2693-nucleotide long non-coding RNA is filed under the name Triticum aestivum (bread wheat). RNAcentral describes it as "long non-coding RNA (TAES_LNC027581)". Lineage: Eukaryota; Viridiplantae; Streptophyta; Magnoliopsida; Poales; Poaceae. The record is from RNAcentral.